UAGGGAAUCUUCGGCAAUGGACGAAAGUCUGGCCGAGCAACGCCGCGUGAGUGAAGAAGGUUUUCGGAUCGUAAAACUCUGUUGUUAGAGAAGAACAAGGACGUUAGUAACUGAACGUCCCCUGACGGUAUCUAACCAGAAAGCCACGGCUAACUACGUGCCAGCAGCCGCGGUAAUACGUAGGUGGCAAGCGUUGUCCGGAUUUAUUGGGCGUAAAGCGAGCGCAGGCGGUUUCUUAAGUCUGAUGUGAAAGCCCCCGGCUCAACCGGGGAGGGUCAUUGGAAACUGGGAGACUUGAGUGCAGAAGAGGAGAGUGGAAUUCCAUGUGUAGCGGUGAAAUGCGUAGAUAUAUGGAGGAACACCAGUGGCGAAGGCGGCUCUCUGGUCUGUAACUGACGCUGAGGCUCGAAAGCGUGGGGAGCAAACAGG
This 429-nucleotide ribosomal RNA is filed under the name Gemmatimonadota bacterium. Its description in RNAcentral is "Gemmatimonadetes bacterium partial 16S ribosomal RNA". It matches the Rfam family "Bacterial small subunit ribosomal RNA", at positions 355 to 776 of the family's 1533-position model. The record is from RNAcentral. Lineage: Bacteria; Pseudomonadati; Gemmatimonadota.